Molecule: ribosomal RNA, 465 nt
Filed under: Vreelandella stevensii
Lineage: Bacteria; Pseudomonadati; Pseudomonadota; Gammaproteobacteria; Oceanospirillales; Halomonadaceae
Description: partial 16S ribosomal RNA
Rfam family: Bacterial small subunit ribosomal RNA
Source: RNAcentral
CCUACGGGUGGCUGCAGUGGGGAAUAUUGGACAAUGGGGGGAACCCUGAUCCAGCCAUGCCGCGUGUGUGAAGAAGGCCCUCGGGUUGUAAAGCACUUUCAGUGAGGAAGAACGCCUGGUGGUUAAUACCCAUCAGGAAAGACAUCACUCACAGAAGAAGCACCGGCUAACUCCGUGCCAGCAGCCGCGGUAAUACGGAGGGUGCGAGCGUUAAUCGGAAUUACUGGGCGUAAAGCGCGCGUAGGUGGCUUGAUAAGCCGGUUGUGAAAGCCCCGGGCUCAACCUGGGAACGGCAUCCGGAACUGUGAAGCUAGAGUGCAGGAGAGGAAGGUAGAAUUCCCGGUGUAGCGGUGAAAUGCGUAGAGAUCGGGAGGAAUCCCAGUGGCGAAGGCGGCCUUCUGGACUGACACUGACACUGAGGUGCGAAAGCGUGGGUAGCAAACAGGAUUAGAUACCCUUGUAGUC